Molecule: transfer RNA, 73 nt
Filed under: Canis lupus familiaris (dog)
Lineage: Eukaryota; Metazoa; Chordata; Mammalia; Carnivora; Canidae
Also listed under: 2 other names
Description: tRNA-Lys (CTT) (tRNA-Lys-CTT-27-1)
Rfam family: tRNA
About the family: Transfer RNA (tRNA) molecules are approximately 80 nucleotides in length. Their secondary structure includes four short double-helical elements and three loops (D, anti-codon, and T loops).
Source: Rfam by way of RNAcentral
ACCUGGCUGGCUCAGUCGGUAGAGCAUGCAAUUCUUAAUCUCAGGGUUGUGAGUUCAAGCCUCACGUUGGGCA